RNAcentral lists this ribosomal RNA (484 nucleotides) under uncultured bacterium. RNAcentral's name for it is "partial 16S ribosomal RNA". It matches the Rfam family "Bacterial small subunit ribosomal RNA", at positions 30 to 507 of the family's 1533-position model. The record is from RNAcentral.
AUUGAACGCUGGCGGCAGGCCUAACACAUGCAAGUCGGGCGGAUGAAGGGAGCUUGCUCCUGGAUUCAGCGGCGGACGGGUGAGUAAUGCCUAGGAAUCUGCCUGGUAGUGGGGGAUAACGUCCGGAAACGGGCGCUAAUACCGCAUACGUCCUGAGGGAGAAAGUGGGGGAUCUUCGGACCUCACGCUAUCAGAUGAGCCUAGGUCGGAUUAGCUAGUUGGUGGGGUAAAGGCCUACCAAGGCGACGAUCCGUAACUGGUCUGAGAGGAUGAUCAGUCACACUGGAACUGUGACACGGUCCAGACUCCUACGGGAGGCAGCAGUGGGGAAUAUUGGACAAUGGGCGAAAGCCUGAUCCAGCCAUGCCGCGUGUGUGAAGAAGGUCUUCGGAUUGUAAAGCACUUUAAGUUGGGAGGAAGGGCAGUAAGUUAAUACCUUGCUGUUUUGACGUUACCAACAGAAUAAGCACCGGCUAACUUCGUG